Molecule: ribosomal RNA, 375 nt
Filed under: uncultured bacterium
Lineage: Bacteria
Description: bacterial SSU rRNA
Rfam family: Bacterial small subunit ribosomal RNA
Source: RNAcentral
GACGAACGCUGGCGGCGUGCUUAACACAUGCAAGUCGAGCGAGGCCCUCCUUCGGGGGGUGCCCUAGCGGCGAACGGGUGAGUAACACGUGGGCAACCUGCCCUCAGCUCUGGGAUAACUCCAAGAAAUUGGUGCUAAUACCGGAUGUGACCGCUGACCGCAUGGUCUGGUGGUGGAAAGAUUUAUCGGCUGAGGAUGGGCCCGCGGCCUAUCAGCUUGUUGGUGGGGUCACGGCCCACCAAGGCGACGACGGGUAGCCGGCCUGAGAGGGUGACCGGCCACACUGGGACUGAGACACGGCCCAGACUCCUACGGGAGGCAGCAGUGGGGAAUAUUGCGCAAUGGGCGAAAGCCUGACGCAGCGACGCCGCGUGA